UUAAAACUAAUAAAUAAAAUGCAACGUAGUAGCUUGGCAGCACCGUGCAGCUGUGACAACAAACUUCUUCUUAUUUAACGUCACUCUCCAUGUUCUCUCCAAGUGAUGAAAGUCUCCUCUAAAGCAUAUGGCGGCUCUCUCCCCGAGACCUUAUUCUCCUAUUAGUAUAUCAUGCUCCUCUUUCUCUUCCCUGACCCUUUUGCUACCAAAGAGAAAGUCAAGAUGUUGUCCGUGUGUCCCCAGCUGACGUUCCAGCCCAUUCGCUUUCAACCUAAUGGACCGUGUGUGGGCUUUCUUUUCUCUGUUGGACCGUGACAACACUUCCUCCACAUGCCAUGACAAUUAAAUGGAAUCAGCUGCUGCAUGUACAGGCCGUGGUGCACCUUUUCGUUUCUGGACCAGCUACUGAUUGUCACAUGAAGCCCGCUGUUACGGUAUAAAUUUACUGGGACCGGAGUACUAACCUUAAUGACGUCUUCUUCUGUGCUUCUGCCCGCUUUUCGUGAUUUCUGACCGUACGCCUUCUCGUCGACUUCAGCCGUCCGGUGAUCUUCUAGCUUUGACGGAGGGGGGAGGUACCUGAAAAGGCACUCCGACGCUCAAGUUAGGCGUGUAUAAGAGAUUCUCUGUUGGAANAGAACUGAUGGGAGAUAUGUUGUAUGCAGUGUGAGUGAAGUGUAUUCAGAGAGCGUACCUCGUUUGGAAUCCUCUGGCCUUUAUUUAUAGGUUUUGGAUUGAUAUAAUAUUAACAGUAAUAUAAACAGAAUAAAAUAUAAUCUUACUUGACAUAUCUCUGUUAUAAUAUCUUUAUAAGAUAUAUCCGGCG
This 826-nucleotide long non-coding RNA is filed under the name Vigna radiata. RNAcentral's name for it is "long non-coding RNA (VRAD_LNC002697)". The record is from RNAcentral. Lineage: Eukaryota; Viridiplantae; Streptophyta; Magnoliopsida; Fabales; Fabaceae.